This 503-nucleotide ribosomal RNA is filed under the name uncultured bacterium. Its description in RNAcentral is "bacterial SSU rRNA". It matches the Rfam family "Bacterial small subunit ribosomal RNA", at positions 28 to 531 of the family's 1533-position model. The record is from RNAcentral.
GAUGAACGCUAGCGGGAGGCCUAAUACAUGCAAGUCGAGCGGUAUAGAGACUUCGGUUUCUAGAGAGCGGCGCACGGGUGAGUAACGCGUACAUGACCUACCUUCAAGCCUGGGAUAGCCCUGGGAAACUGGGAUUAAUACCGGAUGUGAUAAUAAGUUUGGAUAUUUAUUAUUAAAGUUACGGCGCUUGGAGAUGGGUGUGCGUCUGAUUAGCUAGUUGGCGAGGUAACGGCUCACCAAGGCGACGAUCAGUAGGGGGCGUGAGAGCGUGACCCCCCACACGGGUACUGAGACACGGACCCGACUCCUACGGGAGGCAGCAGUAAGGAAUAUUGGUCAAUGGGCGAAAGCCUGAACCAGCCAUCCCGCGUGCAGGAUGAAGGUCCUAUGGAUUGUAAACUGCUUUUAUCAGGGAAGAAACGCCUUCAUUCAUGAGGGUCUGACGGUACCUGAGGAAUAAGCACCGGCUAACUCCGUGCCACGCAGCCGCGGUAAUGUCGAUA